AGCUUUUACAUGAAGGCUUGAGUUCUGGUAAAGUGCUUACUUUAAUUAAGAUUAGACGAGACUGGUACCCUAAAACUCACAAGUUUCUAAAUUAAAGUUCCUUAUGGUGAUUUCAGUUGCUGGUUUUCAGAGAGCUAUGGGCCCUUCACAACUUUCAAAUCGAUUGGUGAUGCCAGGAUUCAAGUGCAAGUGAAGAAGCCCCACUUUGAAAUGCAUGGAAAAGACCAAAGAUAGAUACUAAUGGCAUACAAGUUUUUGGUCGUGUUGUAUGUGUUAUUUGACAAGCAGCCACUAUAAGAAAUUCUACUUUGUAAAGUCUAGGAAUUCCUUAAUUACUUAAAUCGGUUAUGAUUAUGGAU
RNAcentral lists this long non-coding RNA (359 nucleotides) under Glycine max (soybean). RNAcentral's name for it is "long non-coding RNA (GMAX_LNC004012)". The record is from RNAcentral. Lineage: Eukaryota; Viridiplantae; Streptophyta; Magnoliopsida; Fabales; Fabaceae.